GUGGGGAAUAUUGGUCAAUGGGCGCGAGCCUGAACCAGCCAAGUAGCGUGCAGGAUGACGGCCCUAUGGGUUGUAAACUGCUUUUAUGCGGGGAUAAAGUGCACCACGUGUGGUGUUUUGUAGGUACCGCAUGAAUAAGGACCGGCUAAUUCCGUGCCAGCAGCCGCGGUAAUACGGAAGGUCCGGGCGUUAUCCGGAUUUAUUGGGUUUAAAGGGAGCGCAGGCUGGAGAUUAAGCGUGACGUGAAAUGUAGCCGCUCAACGGCUGAGUUGCGUCGCGAACUGGUUUUCUUGAGUGAGUACGACGUCAGCGGAAUUCGUGGUGUAGCGGUGAAAUGCUUAGAUAUCACGAAGAACCCCGAUUGCGAAGGCAGCUGACGAGUCCUUUACUGACGCUAAAGCUCGAAGGUGCGGGUAUCGAACAGG
Molecule: ribosomal RNA, 425 nt
Filed under: uncultured rumen bacterium
Lineage: Bacteria
Description: bacterial SSU rRNA
Rfam family: Bacterial small subunit ribosomal RNA
Source: RNAcentral